AACAUUUAUUUGUGUUUCUGUGUAUUGUUACCAAUCUGAAAUUAAGUAUCACAGCAACAAUUUUUGCACUAUUCCUGUAAGAAUUAAAAAACUCAAAUUAUAAAACAGAAAAAAACAAAAAUUAUAUACACAUAUUUAUAUGAUUAAUGCAUUUUUUGCUUUAAAUAUAUGCUUUGACUAAAAAUAGUUACAUUGGAUUCUCCACUGAAUUGAUGAGAGAAUCCAGGUUAAGUUGGGUAGUCUCUAGUCUCAUUGCUCUUCAGACUGAGUUGAAUUCGGAGGACACGCCUCCCUGGUAACGGUCCCCAGUGUUUCAACUCAGUUUCAAGCUCAUUCAGAUGUUCCUUAAGGCUCUGAAGAUCUUGAGUUUUAAAAAAGAGACUUGUAUUAUUAAUCCCUGGAUCUCCCAUUGACAUCAGAGUCAGUUGGAAAGAUUUGAAAGCUGUCCAACUUAGGACAGACACUCUUUGUUUUUUUCCGCGCCUUUGUAUUUUAGCACCUUUUUUAUUUUUAUUGUUGGUUACACCUUUGGU
Notechis scutatus (mainland tiger snake) is the source of this 533-nucleotide non-coding RNA. Lineage: Eukaryota; Metazoa; Chordata; Lepidosauria; Squamata; Elapidae. The record is from RefSeq and is a predicted model, not a curated record.